CUAUCUGGGUGGGGCUGAUGAAAUGGAUAUGGGUGUCAAUGCCUCCGGCGGUAAGGAUAAGUCCUUCGCCUGCUAUGGCUUCUGUGCCUGCACCGAAUACGAGAGAAGGUGUCACGCCGUCCAUUAUAUCGGGAUUGCCCGACUUGCCGAUACCGCAUAUCUUUCCGUCCUUUAUGCCGAUAUCAGCCUUGUAAAUUCCCGUACAGUCAACUACUACUGCGCCUGUGAUGACGGUAUCGGGGCAGUCGGCGUCCUUUACGGAGCAGGAUUGUCCCAUUCCGUCACG
RNAcentral lists this small RNA (286 nucleotides) under pig gut metagenome. Its description in RNAcentral is "5' ureB small RNA". It matches the Rfam family "5' ureB small RNA". The record is from RNAcentral.